AACGAACGCUGGCGGCAUGCCUAACACAUGCAAGUCGAACGAAGCCUUCGGGCUUAGUGGCGCACGGGUGCGUAACGCGUGGGAAUCUGCCCUUGGGUUCGGAAUAACAGUUAGAAAUGACUGCUAAUACCGAAUGAUGUCUUCGGACCAAAGAUUUAUCGCCCAAGGGUGAGCCCGCGUCGGAUUAGCUAGUUGGUGAGGUAAAGGCUCACCAAGGCGACGAUCCGUAGCUGGUCUGAGAGGAUGAUCAGCCACACUGGGACUGAGACACGGCCCAGACUCCUACGGGAGGCAGCAGUGGGGAAUAUUGGACAAUGGCGAAAGCCUGAUCCAGCAAUGCCGCGUGAGUGAUGAAGGCCUUAGGGUUGUAAAGCUCUUUUACCCGGGAUGAUAAUGACAGUACCGGGAGAAUAAGCCCCGGCCUAACUCCGUGCCAGCAGCCGCC
This 445-nucleotide ribosomal RNA is filed under the name uncultured bacterium. Its description in RNAcentral is "bacterial SSU rRNA". It matches the Rfam family "Bacterial small subunit ribosomal RNA", at positions 29 to 519 of the family's 1533-position model. The record is from RNAcentral.